Molecule: long non-coding RNA, 1241 nt
Filed under: Triticum aestivum (bread wheat)
Lineage: Eukaryota; Viridiplantae; Streptophyta; Magnoliopsida; Poales; Poaceae
Description: long non-coding RNA (TAES_LNC019376)
Source: RNAcentral
UUCUGACAGACCUAAUCCGGACAUACGUAGUUCUCUGUACCUAAAUAUGAAUUGAAUGAACCAGGAAAGGAAUCUACCGACCUUGAUAGGUGUUGGGCAUAGCAGUGCAGGAUAUUACCUUUUAUUCUCAAGCUCACAAAUCGCAGCAUUGAAAAAUUGCAAACAAUAGAACAGAGAACAUCAACAAAUCUUGUGCUUUACCAUUUCAGGUACACCCAAACUGAAAUUGUGUGAACUUUUCUCUUGAGAAAAGGUAAAAAGCAUUUUGUGUGGAUGCAUUUCAGGUACACGCUUCCACCCGGCCCUCUCCUCGCGCCUGCGCCCUUUGGUAGCCAUGGAUCUCAAAUGGAUGCAUGCAGCAGCCGACAUCCACGCGUCGCCCUGGCCAAAGCUCGCUGUGUCGGCUUCUGCGCGCUGCCCCAACCACCAGUUGAAGCUCUGCCUUGGACAACGCACAUCGCGCAUCGCCCCAGUCUCCUGUCGGCUGCUGAUGCACGUCGCUGCUGGUCUUCAUGAUGCGUCCCUGAACUUGCUCCGGCUUCAAGACCUCCACAGCGCUGCCGAAGCUCUGCCUUGGACGUAUUUUGGUGAGGGAUAUAGAGAUUCACGUAAGUUAUGCUGAAGUUCAAAUUCAGAAAAACAGGCGGUUCAAUGUUUAAAUUAUCUCCUUCGUUUCUGAAUAAUAAGUUGCAUGCUCUGGUGGAAUGGAUUAGCGACGAAGAGUUUUACAAUUUUCAUGUUCAGCUCGAUGCUAUUUGUUGCCUAAAUCACCCAGUAUGGUGGGGUAAUCUGAAUUUCUAUCCCUCUGUUUUUUGCGUGUGUGCCUGCUGUGCUGCCUAUAGGUUGAAAACGAGCAUUCACAGUGGGCUACAUUAGAGAAUAAAUAAUUUGGGCUGGGCUCAUUGGUAAGUGGAGGCCUAGUAGUUCAGAAACGAUGCACGCUAGUGGAUUUUGUUAUCUUUGCAACACUACUGGUUCACAAGCGAUUAACGCUGUUCCUUGAAAAAACAAGAAGCGAUGCACUCUUUUUCAAUAUUUGCACCAACACAAGUAUUUCUAGCUGCGCACGCAUGUUUCUCUAAAAAAUAAAACUACACGCGCCUGCCAUUUUUUUGAAUUGUUUGCUUACCACAUGUGUCACGUGGUGCACACAUGCAUGUCGUUGAUAGCUACUGUUUCGCAAAUGAAAUUUCUUGCGCUUAACAUUUUUAUUUUUAUUUUAAUCAAUAUGAUCCAUGGCA